UAGUGGAUCUGCUCCUGUACUGAUAUGCCAAGGAUUUGGAGAAAGCAGCCCAGGAGUUCCAGCCACGAUGGAGACAUAGGUAGAAAUGCUUCACCUCCUUGCACAACCAAAAGAAGGACAACGACAGAUUUAAGAACAAAAAAUAAGCAGAACUGCAGAUAUUCAAACUUCAUGGAAGCCUGCCAAUCAAGGAGUUAAA
Phyllostomus discolor (pale spear-nosed bat) is the source of this 199-nucleotide long non-coding RNA. RefSeq lists it as uncharacterized. The record is from RefSeq and is a predicted model, not a curated record. The transcript has 2 exons. NCBI's taxonomy places the organism in Eukaryota, Metazoa, Chordata, Mammalia, Chiroptera, Phyllostomidae.